UUAUCAUAUAUCCUCCCUAUGGCGUUUGCCACUUGAUUGACACACAGGGCGGCCAGUCUGAGAUCUCUUUUCUUCUAACACACUGGUCAUCCUGCCCACACGACCAAACGCGCAAGCUACUGCAAAACUCUGGCUAUCUAAGUGAUCUAGUUAGCCUUCCAAUUUAUAUCGACUAAAGAAGGGAUUUAAAAAAAAUUGUUGGUUAUGGGCUGGAUGUGGAAUUGGAAGAGGAUUUUUUUUUCUCACAAUGUCAAAAUCGAAGUGCGUUUGUCUGAUCUGUCAAUCUUUCAUUACAAUUCCAAAGAAGGAAAAUGUGGAAAGGCACUUUCGAACUGUUCAUAAAAACUAUGAAACUGACUUCCUUCCGAAAAGCGAUCUGAGAAAGAGAAAGGAGAGGGAACUAAAAUCACACUGGAGACGCAAUGGAAGGCGUGUGUGCAACUUGACAGCAUACGCUACACAGAGCAGAUUGAAAAUUGUCUGUCAGACUUUGACAGACGUUUUCAAGACUCAGCUUUACUUGAGCCAAUCGCUACAUUUAAGUGCUAUCCAUUUAGAGAAGAUGUUGAGGGUGAUUCAGCCGCAUCAAAAAUUACAA
Long non-coding RNA from Erpetoichthys calabaricus (reedfish), 598 nucleotides. RefSeq lists it as uncharacterized. The record is from RefSeq and is a predicted model, not a curated record. NCBI's taxonomy places the organism in Eukaryota, Metazoa, Chordata, Cladistia, Polypteriformes, Polypteridae. The transcript is spliced from 2 exons.